Long non-coding RNA from Oreochromis aureus, 1950 nucleotides. The record is from Ensembl. Lineage: Eukaryota; Metazoa; Chordata; Actinopteri; Cichliformes; Cichlidae.
AUGGGGAAUAUGUUUUCAUCCUUUGCUCUCUGCCUGGAUCUGUGAAAGACGAUACAAGAUGUAAUCUGUACUUUGGAGAAGCAGGUCGUCCAGUCUUAAAUCAAGCUGUCUUAAAGAAAAGCAGCACAAAAACCAGUCAGAGGUUCUGCCAGUUUGAUGUCUCAGUUGCUGAUUUUUUGAGACAUUUACAUUAUGUUCAACAAAAGGAUGCCAGCUGUGAUUACACUUUGGAAAAUGAACACAACUCUUUGUCACCUCGCAGUGAUCGAUACAACAUGACACAGAAUUCAAACUGUCUGGAGGGGAAAAGGAGAAAACGCAGUUAAGCGACCUGUAGAAAUGGAGCAAAGGAGUUACGAGAGACUGCACAAGGAAUAAGUUAGAGCUUACUUGCCACACAUUUACUAGACGCUUGGGAGAGGUACUUAAGGCUGGAGAUUGAAGUGGGGACAACGUGGACCCCAGGUAGCGCAGAUAUUUUGGAGAAAGAAUCACCAACAACCAAAGUGAACUCACCAUGUACCAUGACCACAGAAGUUCCAAAACUUCAAAAGCCUGAAUCAAAUCAUACCUCACAAAAGAAAACAUCAGCAGAAUCAAGUCUCACAACACCCAGGGCUUCCACUUCUACCAGUACUGUGGACUCACCAUCAGAAGAAGUCUCAAGAAAGAUAAACACAAAAUCGUCAUUUACCUUGACCACAGAUUCAAACAAGACUGAUACCACAGUGAAAGUCGAAGAGUCAUUAUGGAAUUUGGCAGCAGCUGUGACAAGAUAUGGAAUAGUUGUGGGCUUCAUCCUACUGGUACUGGGGCUUCACAUAUUCAAAAGGAGAACUGGUGAUUUUGUACGGAUGAGAACAAUUAACCAUGGAGGAUCGUUACCGGCAGGUAAUGAUGGAGGCUCCAGUGUGAUUCUUUCAGUACCUGGUGACAACUGUCUUACUAUUGAGGAGAACAUAAACUUGCAGCAGAUGAAAAAUGAAAAUUCUGACAUUUACCACGUGUACGGCACCAUCUCUGAGGAAACAGAUGCACCAGAUUCACAGGAUACGAUUUAGAGCCUGCUGGACGCACACUGAAACAUUUUUGGUGACGUUGUCCGUAAAGUGUAUUUAAAGGGAUUUAAUUAAUUUAAGGUGGGGAAAGUUUUACAGGUAGUAGAUGUAUUCUUGCAAAAAGUCUUGAACUUAAAUUGUUGUAGAUUCUUUUUUCUAAGGAUAAUUGGCGUGAUCAUGCAGUUUUCAGCUUUUGCAUUUUUAAUAAAUGUUUUUAGAUCUUCAUUAUUUUGUUUUAAGUAACUGUAAUUUGGAAGAUGACAGUCAUAACAUCUGAGUCAUUCCCAAACUUAGAACUAUGUAUACUGUUGCCAUAUAAUAAGACUGGCUUACUUUCAAAUUAUCCAACUUUUCCAAAAAUCCAACAAUUUCUCCUUUAUAGAAUUGCCUAAUAGACUAUAUGUAUCUAUUUUAAUGGUGUCAUUUGCAUUUCAGAUUGUGUUUUUCAACUGUUUUUAAGGUGGGAUGUAUUUGUUUUGUGUUAAUACAAACUAAAGGGGAAACAACAUAUUAAACAUGUAUCUACAAACUGUCAACUGACAACACAAAAAGUUCUUCCAAAAUCUGCCUGGAAAAGGUCAAAGGAUUUAACUUCAUGUCCUUUUCAGUUUUCUCUUGGUAAUAAAAAACAAAAUCCUGCUUUUUUUUAAGGUUAUGUUGACACAGUUUGAAGUAAAGGAUUUUGUCUAAAUAUUAAAAAAGCCAAUCUUGACUUCAAUCACAGGUCUCAGAAAUCGUGGAUUUGAAUGCCCAAAAAUGUAUCUUCCAUUUAAACUCUGUACUAUUGCCAUGUCACACUUUCAGGAAUGGAAAACCAUAUCCAGUGAAACAAAAAUAUUUGUUUGUUUGCAAACAAAAAUAAACCUACGAACUGUACUCAGUAAGAGACAGA